Molecule: long non-coding RNA, 683 nt
Organism: Rhododendron vialii
Lineage: Eukaryota; Viridiplantae; Streptophyta; Magnoliopsida; Ericales; Ericaceae
Exons: 3
Source: RefSeq, a predicted model, not a curated record
UAUCCCCGAUUGUUCUUGGUAGGGUUGUGAGUUGCUUUUGAUUUGUUUGCGUCUUUGUUACAAGGUAUUUUGUGGCUUAUUUUUCGGGUACACGGUAGAGAGAGAAGAAGCAGAGAUGGCAGGGAAGGAUUUAGAGAACCGUAUAUUCGUUGGAGGCUUGGGUUGGGACGUCUCUGAGCGUCGGCUGGAAGACGCAUUUGAUCGAUUCGACAAAAUUAUCGACUCUCAGUUUGUCAUCAGAAAUUAACUAUUGCUAUCUAUGGUGGGAUUAAAUCAUCAAGGAUUGACAGUGGAAGGCACAUUAUUUGAUGAGAUUGAUUCGGAGCUGGUUGAAUCCGGAGAUCGGGUGUGAAGUCCGUAGUGCAUCUAUUGGAUCUUGAAGAAGUUUUGGGAGCAUCGGAGAUUGGCGAGAAUAUGUAAAGGCUUGGGUAAGGUUUUUGCUAUUUCGCAAUCUGUGCUUCUUUUUGAUUAAUAGAAUAAAGCAGUGGUGUUAGGCCGUGGUUUUGGCUUAGAGUUAUUUAGGACCCUAAGUUUUUCCACGUAAAUCGUGCGUCUCUUGUUACAAUUUUUAUUCUACUGCAGUACUUUAUUUUUGGUUUGGAUUAAUCGAGAUAAUCAACCCGUUUAUCUUUAUUAUUAUUUUUUAAAAUAUGAAAAUUGGUAUAUUUUUAUUAAAACUCCUA